UUAAGUGACGAUAGCCUAGGAGAUACACCUGUACCCAUGCCGAACACAGAAGUUAAGCCCUAGAACGCCGGAAGUAGUUGGGGGUUGCCCCCU
Molecule: ribosomal RNA, 93 nt
Filed under: Streptococcus pneumoniae
Lineage: Bacteria; Bacillati; Bacillota; Bacilli; Lactobacillales; Streptococcaceae
Also listed under: 2 other names
Source: RNAcentral